Long non-coding RNA from Sinocyclocheilus anshuiensis, 222 nucleotides. RefSeq lists it as uncharacterized. NCBI's taxonomy places the organism in Eukaryota, Metazoa, Chordata, Actinopteri, Cypriniformes, Cyprinidae. The transcript has 3 exons. The record is from RefSeq and is a predicted model, not a curated record.
UUUAUAGGGUUCUGAGGGUUUUGAAGCACAGAUCAACCACUGCCUGGAAAAUGCAGAGUAUCUUUACUACAAACUGAAGAGGAGAACAGACUUUCAGCUUGUCUUCAAAGGAAAGCCCGAACACAGUAAUGUCUGCUUUUGGUAUCUCCCAAAACGACUGCAAAGCAUUCUUCCAAGCCCAGAGCGAGACAGAGAACUUCAUAUGGUGGCUCCAAAAAUCAA